Molecule: ribosomal RNA, 468 nt
Filed under: uncultured bacterium
Lineage: Bacteria
Description: partial 16S ribosomal RNA
Rfam family: Bacterial small subunit ribosomal RNA
Source: RNAcentral
GACGAACGCUGGCGGCGUGCUUAACACAUGCAAGUCGAACGGAAAGGCCCUGCUUUUGUGGGGUGCUCGAGUGGCGAACGGGUGAGUAACACGUGAGUAACCUGCCCUUGACUUUGGGAUAACUUCAGGAAACUGGGGCUAAUACCGGAUAGGAGCUCCUGCUGCAUGGUGGGGGUUGGAAAGUUUCGGCGGUUGGGGAUGGACUGGCGGCUUAUCAGCUUGUUGGUGGGGUAGUGGCUUACCAAGGCUUUGACGGGUAGCCGGCCUGAGAGGGUGACCGGCCACAUUGGAACUGAGAGACGGCCCAGACGCCUACGGGAGGCAGCAGUGGGGAAUAUUGCACAAUGGGCGGAAGCCUUAUGCAGCAACGCCGCGUGCUGGAUGACGGCCUUCGGGUUGUAAACCGCUUUCGCCUGUGACGAAGCGUGAGUGACGGUAAUGGGUAAAGAAGCACCGGCUAACUACGUG